This 204-nucleotide ribosomal RNA is filed under the name uncultured bacterium. RNAcentral's name for it is "partial 16S ribosomal RNA". It matches the Rfam family "Bacterial small subunit ribosomal RNA", at positions 128 to 334 of the family's 1533-position model. The record is from RNAcentral.
CGCCGAUGGAGGGGGGUAACUACUGGAAACGGUAGCUAAUACCGCAUAACGUCGCAAGACCAAAGAGGGGGACCUUCGGGCCUCUUGCCAUCGGAUGUGCCCAGAUGGGAUUAGCUAGUAGGUGGGGUAAAGGCUCACCUAGGCGACGAUCCCUAGCUGGUCUGAGAGGAUGACCAGCCACACUGGAACUGAGACACGGUCCAG